Molecule: ribosomal RNA, 811 nt
Filed under: uncultured bacterium
Lineage: Bacteria
Description: bacterial SSU rRNA
Rfam family: Bacterial small subunit ribosomal RNA
Source: RNAcentral
AGAGUUUGAUCAUGGCUCAGAAUAAACGCUGGCGGCGUGCCUAACACAUGCAAGUCGAACGAGAAAGCCUAGCUUCGGUUGGGCGAGUAAAGUGGCGCACGGGUGAGUAACGCGUAGGUAACCUGCCCCCAUGUCUGGGAUAACAGUGCGAAAGCGCUGCUAAUACCGGAUACGGCCAAGAGGCGGUGGUUUUUUGGCUAAAGUCGGCCUCUCGAUGAAGCCGGCGCACGGGGAUGGGCCUGCGUCCUAUCAGCUAGUUGGCAGGGUAACGGCCUACCAAGGCUUCGACGGGUAGCUGGUCUGAGAGGAUGAUCAGCCACACUGGCACUGAAACACGGGCCAGACUCCUACGGGAGGCAGCAGUGAGGAAUUUUGCACAAUGGCCGCAAGGCUGACGCAGCAACGCCGCGUGGGUGAAGAAGGCCUUCGGGUCGUAAAGCCCUGUCUGGUGGGAAGAAUGACCGGGGGAGUAAUAUGUUCCCGGCUUGACGGUACCACCGAAGGAAGCACCGGCUAACUCCGUGCCAGCAGCCGCGGUAAUACGGAGGGUGCGAGCGUUAUUCGGAAUUACUGGGCGUAAAGCGCGUGCAGGCGGGCCGGCAAGUCUGAUGUGAAAGCCCCGGGCUCAACCCGGGAAGUGCAUUGGAAACUGCUGGUCUUGAGUUCUGGAGAGGAAGGGGGAAUUCCCGGUGUAGAGGUGAAAUUCGUAGAGAUCGGGAGGAAUACCAGUGGCGAAGGCGCCCUUCUGGACGGCAACUGACGCUGAGACGCGAAAGCGUGGGGAGCAAACAGGAUUAGAUACCCUGGUAGU